This 399-nucleotide ribosomal RNA is filed under the name uncultured bacterium. RNAcentral's name for it is "partial 16S ribosomal RNA". It matches the Rfam family "Bacterial small subunit ribosomal RNA", at positions 360 to 773 of the family's 1533-position model. The record is from RNAcentral.
AAUAUUGCGAAAUGGGGGGAACCCUGACGCAGCAAGGCCGCGUGAGUGAAUAAGGCAUUCGGUUCGAAAAACUAUUUCAUAAGGGAAAAAGAAGGAGACGGUACACUAUGAGCAAGCUCCGGCUAACUACGUGCCAGGAGCCGCCGUAAUACGUAGGGGGCAACCGUUGCCCGGAAUUACUGCGCGUAAAGGGUGCGUAGGCGGCCUGAUAAGUCAGAUGUGAAAUACCAGGGCUCAACCCUGGGGGUGCAUAUGAAACUGUUGGGCUUGAGUGCAGGAGAGGAAAGUGGAAUUCCUAGUGUAGCGGUGAAAUGCGUAGAGAUUAGGAGGAACACCAGUGGCGAAGGCGACUUUCUGGACUUAUACUGACGCUGAGGAACGAAAGCGUGGGGAGCAAAC